RNAcentral lists this ribosomal RNA (465 nucleotides) under Vreelandella stevensii. RNAcentral's name for it is "partial 16S ribosomal RNA". It matches the Rfam family "Bacterial small subunit ribosomal RNA", at positions 338 to 795 of the family's 1533-position model. Lineage: Bacteria; Pseudomonadati; Pseudomonadota; Gammaproteobacteria; Oceanospirillales; Halomonadaceae. The record is from RNAcentral.
CCUACGGGUGGCAGCAGUGGGGAAUAUUGGACAAUGGGCGAAAGCCUGAUCCAGCCAUGCCGCGUGUGUGAAGAAGGCCUUCGGGUUGUAAAGCACUUUCAGUGGGGAAGAAAGCCUUGGGGCUAAUACCCUCGAGGAAGGACAUCACCCACAGAAGAAGCACCGGCUAACUCCGUGCCAGCAGCCGCGGUAAUACGGAGGGUGCGAGCGUUAAUCGGAAUUACUGGGCGUAAAGCGCGCGUAGGCGGUCUGAUAAGCCGGUUGUGAAAGCCCCGGGCUCAACCUGGGAACGGCAUCCGGAACUGUCAGGCUAGAGUGCAGGAGAGGAAGGUAGAAUUCCCGGUGUAGCGGUGAAAUGUGUAGAGAUCGGGAGGAAUACCAGUGGCGAAGGCGGCCUUCUGGACUGACACUGACGCUGAGGUGCGAAAGCGUGGGUAGCAAACAGGAUUAGAUCCCCUAGUAGUC